CGAAAAGCUAUGACACUAUCGCGUGUCCGAAAAAACUGUGACCAGAAUUACAAAAGAAGGUAAGCAGCAGCGAGUACUUAAAAAAAAUUGUCACACCAGGGAAGAAUCGUCCGCACCCCAAAAAGUUGGACUUGGAUGGGUUUGAUCUGUGCACCAUACGGGAUAAAAUUCACAGUUUUUAUAUUGUGAGGAAGGAGUUACCGACAUUGGGUAAAUUACACGCCGUAUUGAGAGAAGAUAUCCAUUUUCAGGGAAGCAUCACAACAUUGCACAGAAUAAUACAUAAAAUUGGUUUCAAGUAUAAGCGAUGCCAAUCCAAACGGAAACUUC
RNAcentral lists this unclassified non-coding RNA (330 nucleotides) under Melitaea cinxia (Glanville fritillary). RNAcentral describes it as "misc RNA ENSMCXG00005013670.1". The record is from RNAcentral. Lineage: Eukaryota; Metazoa; Arthropoda; Insecta; Lepidoptera; Nymphalidae.